RNAcentral lists this ribosomal RNA (496 nucleotides) under uncultured bacterium. Its description in RNAcentral is "partial 16S ribosomal RNA". It matches the Rfam family "Bacterial small subunit ribosomal RNA", at positions 28 to 506 of the family's 1533-position model. The record is from RNAcentral.
GAUGAACGCUGGCGGCGUGCCUAAUACAUGCAAGUCGAGCGAACGGACGAGAAGCUUGCUUCUCUGAUGUUAGCGGCGGACGGGUGAGUAACACGUGGAUAACCUACCUAUAAGACUGGGAUAACUUCGGGAAACCGGAGCUAAUACCGGAUAAUAUUUUGAACCGCAUGGUUCAAAAGUGAAAGACGGUCUUGCUGUCACUUAUAGAUGGAUCCGCGCUGCAUUAGCUAGUUGGUAAGGUAACGGCUUACCAAGGCAACGAUGCAUAGCCGACCUGCGAGGGUGAUCGGCCACACUGGAACUGAGACACGGUCCAGACUCCUACGGGAGGCAGCAGUAGGGAAUCUUCCGCAAUGGGCGAAAGCCUGACGGAGCAACGCCGCGUGAGUGAUGAAGGUCUUCGGAUCGUAAAACUCUGUUAUUAGGGAAGAACAUAUGUGUAAGUAACUGUGCACAUCUUGACGGUACCUAAUCAGAAAGCCACGGCUAACUACGU